RNAcentral lists this long non-coding RNA (352 nucleotides) under Olea europaea subsp. europaea. Lineage: Eukaryota; Viridiplantae; Streptophyta; Magnoliopsida; Lamiales; Oleaceae. The record is from RNAcentral.
CUUAGGGCCGGCCUUGCGAACACUGAAUCACUUCGAAGGGAUUCACCUCCGAACACAUGAAACGGUGCAACUUGACGGAUAGUUCCUUUUUUCAUAUCUUCAAAGUUAAAUACAAAUUGAAGGACAAAAGCUUCCUACGUCUUCCUCUAACUGACUCUACUUAAGAAAUAUAAAGAACUAUUCCAAACCACCACCAAACUUGAAUAAAAAUAAAGAGAAGUGUCUUGAAAAUGGGAGCUACUCUUCAAACGAAAGGAGUGAGAUAGGGUUUUCUUCGAUGGUCGAGAGAGGAGAGAGUGAUGAGAGGGAGUAAAAACCAAUUUUAUAGGGGAGAUAUUUAAUUCAACAGCUG